AUAUUGCACAAAGUCCUUCUAAAAAUUUGAUACAACACAACAAGGAUGAAUAUUUGAUGGAAAAUGUAGAACAGGAAUAUAUCGCAGAAAAUUCUUCUAAAAGUUUGAUACAACACACCAAUGAAGAAGAUUUGUUAGAAAAUAUACAACAAGAAUAUGUAGCAGAGAAUACUUAUAAAAAUUU
Long non-coding RNA from Daktulosphaira vitifoliae (grape phylloxera), 184 nucleotides. RefSeq lists it as uncharacterized. The record is from RefSeq and is a predicted model, not a curated record. NCBI's taxonomy places the organism in Eukaryota, Metazoa, Arthropoda, Insecta, Hemiptera, Phylloxeridae. The transcript has 3 exons.